This is a long non-coding RNA of Oncorhynchus tshawytscha (Chinook salmon), 634 nucleotides long. Lineage: Eukaryota; Metazoa; Chordata; Actinopteri; Salmoniformes; Salmonidae. The record is from Ensembl.
ACAUACAUACAUGUUACAUACAUACAGGUUACAUACAUACAGGUUACAUACAUACAGGUUACAUACAUACAUGUUACAUACUUACAGGUUACAUACAUACAGGUUACAUACAGGUUACAUACAUACAGGUCACAUACAUACAGGUCACAUACAUACAGGUUACAUACAUACAGGUUACAUACAGGUUACAUACAUACAGGUUACAUACAUACAGGUUACAUACAGGUUACAUACAUACAGGUUACAUACAGGUUACAUACAUACAGGUUACAUACAGGUUACAUACAUACAGGUUACAUACAUACAGGUUACAUACAGGUUACAUACAUACAUGUUACAUACAUACAGGUUACAUACAUACAGGUUACAUACAGGUUACAUACAGGUUACAUACAUACAGGUUACAUACAUACAGGUUACAUACAUACAUGUUACAUACAUACAGGUUACAUACAUACAGGUUACAUACAGGUUACAUACAUACAGGUUACAUACAGGUUACAUACAUACAUGUUACAUACAUAGAGGUUACAUACAUACAGGUUACAUACAUACAGGUUACAUACAUACAGGUUACAUACAGGUUACAUACAUACAGGUUACAUACAGGUUACAUACAUACAGGUUACAUACA